RNAcentral lists this ribosomal RNA (927 nucleotides) under Triticum aestivum (bread wheat). Its description in RNAcentral is "partial small subunit ribosomal RNA". Lineage: Eukaryota; Viridiplantae; Streptophyta; Magnoliopsida; Poales; Poaceae. The record is from RNAcentral.
AUGAAAGGGAUCUUUUGGAAUAGCAGAGGUCUGGCAGACUUGGCUAAGCAACGGUUCCUUGCAGAAAUAACUUUAGAGGAUAAAUUAGAGUUUAUCGCUCUUCUGGAGACGGGUAGAGAUAACUUCACGCCACAAUUCUUAGGCUCACUUACAGCAGGAGUUGCCUUUGAUUGGCACUGCCUUCCGCCAAGAGGGCGAUCCGGUGGGAUUCUCUUGGGAGUGAAGUGUGAAACCCUUGAGGUUAUAAAUAUAGUAAGAGGAGAAUAUAUGGUGAAGUUCAGGGUUAGGUCCAAAUUGGAUGGGUUCCGUUGGGCCUUAGUGGCAGUAUAUGGGGCUGCUCAACCAGAGUUUAAGCCGGAGUUCUUAGCAGAUCUGGUACGGAUUUGUGGAGAUGAAAGAUUGCCAAUUUUGGCAGGAGGUGAUUUUAAUAUCAUUAGGAGGAAGGAAGAAAAGAACAAUGAUCAUUUUGAUGGACGAUGGUCUUUUAUGUUCAAUAUGAUCAUUGAGAGUCUUAACCUUAGGGAGAUUGAACUCUCAGGAAGACAAUUUACCUGGGCAAAUUCUCUUCCUACUCCUAUGUACGAGAAGCUCGAUAGGGUUCUGGUGAGUGUGGAAUGGGAACAGAACUACCCCUUAGUAUCGGUGCACGCGAUGCAACGGGCGAUCUCGGACCACACACCCCUGUUAGUUGAUUCAGGGAGCGCCACGCAUAUUGGUAAUAAAAAUAUUUUCUCGUUUGAAUUAAGUUGGUUCGAAAAAGAGAAUUUCAUCGAGAUGGUGGCAAGAGAGUGGGCUAAACCAGUGCAUGGCACAUCUAGCGUGGAACGUUGGCAGAACAAAAUCAGACACCUGAGACAAUUCCUGAGGGGUUGGGCUAAAAAUGAGAGUGGGAUCUAUAAAAAGAGAAGGAGAGGCUGCUCCAGUUAA